ACGUUUGGAGACCAUGCACACUUAAUUCUCAGUGAGGAUGGUCCUGCUGAAACAGGAGCGGAGAGGAAGCAUAGCCUGUUGGACUGCGGAGGGAGCUGUGGGCUUCUGCAGCCCUCUCUGCUCCUCUGACGCCCACUUGGCAGUUGCCCUGGACUUGACUGUGGCCCUGUAAUGGAUGUGACAUCGUCUGCCCCCUAGCAGGAAAGCUGGCAGCCUCCUCUGACUGGUGGUCACUGGCCUAGCCCUUUACUGGAAGCUGGUUAGAAAGGACACUUCGGCUGUUCCCUGGAACUGGCUGCUCAAAAUAACUCCUCCUCAGCUGGUUGGACUGAAGCGGAAAACAUCUUCAAUACUCGAUUUCUCACGGGAUAAUUGGGUCACAUCCCGAGAGCUCAGCUGGACUGCACUAACCUCUGCUGCCUUGGAAUGCUGUGCUCCGCUACUGGUUUUCUCAAAGACUCUGGAAAAGACAGCACGGUGCUCUCCUAUAGUGUGCAUACUCUAAGUGGCAAGCUUCUGAGUUUCAAGCUUCCUGCUUCUUCAGCUCUUAACAAACCUGCUUGGAAGCUAUCGAGAAAGAUUAUGGGACAUGCGAGUGAAUUUGCAAGUGCUUACUGGUGCCGCCCAGGUCAUACUGAAGAGGAACAGUCCAACAGACACAGCCUGCAUCGUCACACGGCUCUCUGAAAGAUAGCAAGAACCUGUCUGAGCAGUGCCAGCUAUGCAUUGCAGACUCGAAGGCAUGUACAUGCAGACAACCCUCCCGCAUAAGUUCAUUUCCCUUUGAUAUAUAGAAUUACAUCCCUCAUAUGUACAUCCUAUCGAAUUAGCAUUUGCAUAAAUGUAUGUGCUUUUCACAAUUAGUUCAUAGUCAGGGUUAAUCUAUUAAUCUCUAUUUCAUUGCUGAUUACUCUCGUGCAAAAAUAAAAAUAUUGACUAUAAUUAAUCCAAUAA
This 954-nucleotide small RNA is filed under the name Rattus norvegicus (Norway rat). RNAcentral's name for it is "uncharacterized LOC100910198". The record is from RNAcentral. Lineage: Eukaryota; Metazoa; Chordata; Mammalia; Rodentia; Muridae.